GGUAUUUUGGCCCUUUGGCAUAGUGUCGUGUGGCAGAUUAUUACAUGGUAGUUAUAACUCAGUUUAGGGUUUGUUAGUUUAUUGAGAAUGGAUUAGAAGUUUGGAUAAAUUUGAUUUAAGUGAGGUUCAAAAUGAUUGAAUCUUAGGCUCCAACUUGAAUAUGAAUGAGCGACUUAUAUGGUGAAUAAAUUGUGUUAUUGUUUUGAAUGUGGUUCUUAUGAUAAUUGAAUUAUCUUGAAGCAUGUUGGCUAUAGGUUUUAUGUAUGAUGUUGCAUCAUAUUAUCUCUGAAUCAAUUCAUGCUUGUCCUGGAUUUGAUGUAACAUGCUUUAGGGUCAUUUGUUUUUGCAUCUAUUCAUGUUGGUGUGGAUGAUAACCCUAGUUUGUAUUUUGGUUUUGAAUGACCUGUUAUAAGUAGAUGAAACUUGAUGCUUGUGUUGCUUCAGUUGUGAGCCAUAACAUGUGUUUUAGGGUGGCUCUGAGUUGAAUCUAUUUGUGAACUGAUUGUAAAUUAGCCUUUGGAUCUGAAUUGAACUAUAUGUGCAUUGCUGAAACUGGUGUUAUAUGGACUUGUUUAUUUAUGGCAUUGCAUUAUGUUGAUGUUGUAGUCUUUUUGUAGGUUGGGCAUGAAGUUUAUGCAGCCUGGUUUAUUGGUUGGGCAUGAAUUUAGGCAUGGUCCAUGAAGCAUUUUAGAAACAUUGAAACUACUUGGACAUGAAGAUAUGUGAUGAUAAUUGAAGAAUGGAAGCAAACUGAAGCUGAAAACAGUUAGGUCUUAGGUAAAAUUGGGGUCCUGGUCAAACUUCGGUCAAUUGUUUGACAAGAAGUCAAUAGUUGACCAAAAAUCUAUUGUCGGUCAAGACUUGGAUUUUUCAAGUAUCAAUUUUGUAAUAUUUUUUUCUUGUAUUUUGGUACAUUUGAAUGUAAUGUUGACUUGCACUUCAAGAAACAAAGCUCCUUUAUAUUUUCUUUCCAUUUCUUUUGUAAUUUGAA
This 991-nucleotide long non-coding RNA is filed under the name Lathyrus oleraceus (garden pea). Its description in RNAcentral is "Pisum sativum (pea) long non-coding RNA (PSAT_LNC011085)". The record is from RNAcentral. Lineage: Eukaryota; Viridiplantae; Streptophyta; Magnoliopsida; Fabales; Fabaceae.